This 208-nucleotide long non-coding RNA is filed under the name Medicago truncatula (barrel medic). Its description in RNAcentral is "long non-coding RNA (MTRU_LNC000126)". Lineage: Eukaryota; Viridiplantae; Streptophyta; Magnoliopsida; Fabales; Fabaceae. The record is from RNAcentral.
AACAAGACUCGAUAAUGCGACAACAAUCACAAUUUUCUCCACAAUAUAUAGGACAACACCCAAUUAUAUUGUUCAUCUCCACAUCAUUUGCAUUAUCAAGAAAACAUGCCCAUACACAAUUAAAUCAUAGCAUUCAUCAUCACCACAUCAACAUGAUCAUCAAUAAUCAACAAUGUCAUUCAACAUCAACUAUCACAUAUAGUUUCAC